UGUUGGUGGGGUAAUGGCCUACCAAGGCGACGACGGGUAGCCGGCUGAGAGGGCGACCGGCCACACUGGGACUGAGACACGGCCCAGACUCCUACGGGAGGCAGCAGUGGGGAAUAUUGCACAAUGGGGGAAACCCUGAUGCAGCGACGCAGCGUGCGGGAUGACGGCCUUCGGGUUGUAAACCGCUUUCAGCAGGGAAGAAGCGAAAGUGACGGUACCUGCAGAAGAAGUACCGGCUAACUACGUGCCAGCAGCCGCGGUAAUACGUAGGGUACGAGCGUUGUCCGGAAUUAUUGGGCGUAAAGAGCUCGUAGGUGGUUGGUCACGUCUGCUGUGGAAACGCCACGCUUAACGUUGCGCGGGCAGUGGGUACGGGCUGACUAGAGUGCAGUAGGGGAGUCUGGAAUUCCUGGUGUAGCGGUGAAAUGCGCAGAUAUCAGGAGGAACACCGGUGGCGAAGGCGGGACUCUGGGCUGUAACUGACACUGAGGAGCGAAAGCAUGGGGAGCGAACAGGAUUAGAUACCCUGGUAGUCCAUGCCGUAAACGUUGGGCACUAGGUGUGGGGGACAUUCCACGUUCUCCGCGCCGUAGCUAACGCAUUAAGUGCCCCGCCUGGGGAGUACGGUCGCAAGGCUAAAACUCAAAGGAAUUGACGGGGGCCCGCACAAGCGGCGGAGCAUGCGGAUUAAUUCGAUGCAACGCGAAGAACCUUACCAAGGCUUGACAUACACCGGACCGGGCUGGAAACAGUCUUUCCCUUUUUGGGCUGGUGUACAGGUGGUGCAUGGUU
Molecule: ribosomal RNA, 792 nt
Filed under: Brevibacterium sp.
Lineage: Bacteria; Bacillati; Actinomycetota; Actinomycetes; Micrococcales; Brevibacteriaceae
Description: bacterial SSU rRNA
Rfam family: Bacterial small subunit ribosomal RNA
Source: RNAcentral